Molecule: long non-coding RNA, 1800 nt
Organism: Serinus canaria (Common canary)
Lineage: Eukaryota; Metazoa; Chordata; Aves; Passeriformes; Fringillidae
Source: Ensembl
CCCAGCAGAUCCACCUUGGGGAUCUCAAACUGUGGCCAGUCUGCACUGGCUGGAUGCAGAAUGAAAGCGGCGGGCUUUUAGAAAACUCUAAUAAAACCUUUGAUUAUACAUAAGGUAAAAAAAAAAAAAAAAAAAAAAAAAGUGAUCCUGCCUGCUCCCCGGCUCUGUGCUUUGCCUAAAUUUACUUCCCUGGAAUACGCUGGAGUUUGAUCUUUGAGAAAUGAUAUAUAAAAAGCCCACAUGUAAAAACUUAACUGUUCCAGCGAUAGGAUCAUAAUCUGCCUUUGAUCCUGUAAAUUGUUGAACCACAACUCUAUUCGUUGCCCAAGGACUGCAGGAAAUGUACGCGGGGUUAUGCAAAUCCCUAGGAGAGGGAAUGUUUUGCAGGAAGCGGGGGAAGAUGGCUCUUGCCGCAGCUGUCAGUCUCUGGAUGGCAGCUGAAUAGUUUGGCAGUCCCCGCUCUCUCCUGUGUCACCCCGCUGCCAGUUCCCACGGCUCCGACCCCUCUCUGCUCACCGUCCAGUUGUGCAAGUCUGCAGCGGCGAGCUUUUUUCAGAUCUCCCCCUGCGUGUGCUGGUGGCAUUUACAGGCAGAGUCUGCAAGCUCGGUCCUUCGUCUGCAUUCUUCUCCGAGCCACCACUGUGAGUGCUGUGUUCAUGUUUUGCCUCUAAAUCCCCACGACUUUUGCCGGCUGGGGAUGUUUGCAUGGGGUGAUAGGAGUUUUCUUCUGAAGACUGACAAAAGGACUGGAGCACAUGAUUAUGUUGUUACUGGAUCAGUGAAGAGAACCAUGAAAAACACAAUUACCAGGAAGCCCUGUUCCUUAGCUCACCUCUUUGUCUCACUGCGAAUGGGGCAUGUGACUCACGGAGCAAUAGAGGACCGGCUGUAAUCUCACGCACUACCGAGAAGGGUGCUGUCCUCCGAUGGGACCCAAGCGUGGGAAAGCCUGACUGCCGGCUGGAAGGGCCAGUCAUGUCAUGUUUUGCAGCUGGCAUCCAAAUGCAUCCUGAUGAAUCAAGUGAGAGCAGCUACCUUCUCCUGCCACAACCGUGGCCAAGCUGCCACGUAGAAGAGGGGCUGUAAAAACCUCCCCGCAUGCAAAAGCACAGGGAAGGGAUGAUGUUGUGAAUGAGCUUACUGUGACAGCACAGAAAUGUUUUAUAGGUCAAUGGCAUAGCAUCAGACUAAAGGGAGAGGGGAAGAGUAUCUUUCAGCUGUGAGUGCUGGUCUCAGGUUUGCACAGUGCAGGACCAUGGUUAGUGGGCCUGACCCGACCCCCUUAUGUGAUGCAUGGUGGGAAAAGAGAAAUUCUCUUGCUCUCUGCACUCCAAAUCACGUAUAAACCUAUGACCUCAAUGACAAAUACCAGUAGCAGCAGAGCAGCCAAUAUUUUUAUCAUUAAUUGCUAUCAAAAAUAUCAGCUUAAAGUCAUCAGAUUUGAUAGGCGAGCAUGCUCCAAACUGACGGCUGAAGUGAAUUAUUUGCCUAUUGCGUGAUGCAAAAGCAAUGUCUUGCAGGAGAGAACAGACAUUGGCCAACAAACUGACAGCAAGAUAUACUUCUGGGGAAGGCUUCUGAUUUGAUUUGGAAGGAAACACUGAGUAUAAAUACAGAGAAAGUUUACCUGCAUGAAAGGCAGGGUUGAGCCAUGGCUUGGACCUCCUUACUCUGCUGGAGAACAGUGUGAAUCGUACUUUCUAUUUUACUCUCUUUGAGCUGUUCUCAUUACAAAAAGGUACCAGACACCUCAGAAAGUUUUUUAAGUAAUAAAGCAUUUUUUCCCCCAUCCCUGGUGCA